AGACACGCAGCAAACUCCUACGGGAGGCAGCAGUGAGGAAUAUUGGUCAAUGGACGCAAGUCUGAACCAGCCAUGCCGCGUGCAGGAAGACGGCUCUAUGAGUUGUAAACUGCUUUUGUAUUAGGGUAAACUCAGGUACGUGUAGCUGACUGAAAGUAUAAUACGAAUAAGGAUCGGCUAACUCCGUGCCAGCAGCCGCGGUAAUACGGAGGAUCCAAGCGUUAUCCGGAUUUAUUGGGUUUAAAGGGUGCGUAGGCGGUUUGAUAAGUUAGAGGUGAAAUACCGGGGCUUAACUCCGGAACUGCCUCUAAUACUGUUGAACUAGAGAGUAGUUGCGGUAGGCGGAAUGUAUGGUGUAGCGGUGAAAUGCUUAGAGAUCAUACAGAACACCGAUUGCGAAGGCAGCUUACCAAACUAUAUCUGACGUUGAGGCACGAAAGCGUGGGGAGCAAACAGGAUUAGAUACCCUGGUAG
This 474-nucleotide ribosomal RNA is filed under the name uncultured bacterium. RNAcentral's name for it is "bacterial SSU rRNA". It matches the Rfam family "Bacterial small subunit ribosomal RNA", at positions 322 to 793 of the family's 1533-position model. The record is from RNAcentral.